CCGGCUCUUUGCCUUAGAAAUGGAGAUGAGCACCAACCCCCAGAGUGUGAGUAGAUCAAUAGGUACUGCUCCGGUGGGAAGGUAAUGGCACUCCAUGCAGUCAUGUCAGUGGCCACAUGACCUUGGAGGUGUCUACGGACAACGCCGGCUCUUUGGGCUUAGAAAUGGAGAUGAGCACCAACCCCCAGAGUGUGAGUAGAUCAACAGGUACUGCUCCGGCGGGAAGGUAACACUGGCGCUCCAUGCAAUCAUGUCAGUGGCCACAUGACUUUGGAGGUGUCUAUGGACAACGCCGGCUCUUCAGCUUAGAGAGGAAGAUGAGCGCCAUGGAUGUGCAAAUAGAUUUCUCCUUCUUC
Long non-coding RNA from Anolis carolinensis (green anole), 356 nucleotides. RefSeq lists it as uncharacterized. The record is from RefSeq and is a predicted model, not a curated record. The transcript has 2 exons. Lineage: Eukaryota; Metazoa; Chordata; Lepidosauria; Squamata; Anolidae.